GACGAACGCUGGCGGCGUGCUCAACACAUGCAAGUCGAGCGGUAAGGCCCCUUCGGGGGUACACGAGCGGCGAACGGGUGAGUAACACGUGGGUGACCUGCCCUCAGCUCUGGGAUAAGCCUGGGAAACUGGGUCUAAUACCGGAUAUGACUCCAUGACGCAUGUCGUGGGGUGGAAAGCCUUGUGCGGCUGGGGAUGGGCCCGCGGCCUAUCAGCUUGUUGGUGGGGUGAUGGCCUACCAAGGCGACGACGGGUAGCCGGCCUCGAGAGGGCGACCGGCCACACUGGGACUGAGACACGGCCCAGACUCCUACGGGAGGCAGGCAGUGGGGAAUCUUGCGCAAUGGGCGAAAGCCUGACGCAGCGACGCCGCGUGAGGGAUGAC
RNAcentral lists this ribosomal RNA (385 nucleotides) under uncultured bacterium. RNAcentral describes it as "bacterial SSU rRNA". It matches the Rfam family "Bacterial small subunit ribosomal RNA", at positions 28 to 412 of the family's 1533-position model. The record is from RNAcentral.